Molecule: long non-coding RNA, 872 nt
Organism: Sardina pilchardus (European sardine)
Lineage: Eukaryota; Metazoa; Chordata; Actinopteri; Clupeiformes; Clupeidae
Exons: 4
Source: RefSeq, a predicted model, not a curated record
CACAUCCGGUAGUCUUUCCUCUGAAACUCUUGCCUGCCCUCCAGCCGAAUAUGGAGUCACCACACUCGAAUUACUUCUGUAUUCUUGGAUCUUGCUUCUCUGAAUGGAAAGAACACGUAGGCUAGUGCACGUGGCAGUAGGCUGUCAUGAAAAUGACAGCUGAAAGCAUGCAGGACGAAUUUUUCGUGGAUCUUCAGAACAACUCAUCAAAUAGACUGCUUUCGACAGACACCCAUCAUUUAUGGGUGUGUGAUGAUGACAUUGGUCUGUUUUGUACAACACUUGCUUCAGUGAACUGAAAUGGUGAUACGCCUUGCAAGGUUGUAGCAAGGCUUGACCAAGGAGACGGAGAGGUUCAAAGGAAGAAAGUUACCUUGACCUUCACCUUGAAGAACAGCAAGUUGGUGCAGAGAAGAAUGUCCGUCAGGAGUCCCUUAUGGCGUUGCACUGUCUCAGUCUGAGUGUCUGAGUCUGACUUAGGCUGAUUAUUUCAGUGUGCUUUAUGUUUAUAUAUUUACAUAUGACCUGUAAAAUAAGACUAAAAAGAAAAUCAAAAUGAUUUUCUUAGCUUAUACAUCAUUGGUGAAUGUUUGUAAAUGAUGAAUGGCCCUUCCUGUAUGACUGUAGAAGUACUGUGUGUCGUGUUGCUGUGAGCUGUAUGUACCAAGAAACUCAGUGAGGCAUUUUCCCUUUCUUGCCUUUCUCCCACUGUGAUGCAUUAUUCCUCAUUUGAGUUGCUUUCGAUAAAAUGGUCUGCCAUACGUCUGAAUGUAAAUUUAAAUGUUGUAGCCUACAGUAAUAUAAUAACUUUCAAAUUUGUGUUCUUUUCUGUUCUGUUCUGUUCUGUAACAAAUAAAAGUUUAAAAUGUUAA